CGGCAUGCCUUACACAUGCAAGUCGAACGGCAGCGCGGACUUCGGUCUGGCGGCGAGUGGCGAACGGGUGAGUAAUACAUCGGAACGUACCCUGUUGUGGGGGAUAACUAGUCGAAAGAUUAGCUAAUACCGCAUACGACCUGAGGGUGAAAGCGGGGGACCGAAAGGCCUCGCGCAGCAGGAGCGGCCGAUGUCUGAUUAGCUAGUUGGUGGGGUAAAGGCCCACCAAGGCGACGAUCAGUAGCUGGUCUGAGAGGACGAUCAGCCACACUGGGACUGAGACACGGCCCAGACUCCUACGGGAGGCAGCAGUGGGGAAUUUUGGACAAUGGGGGCAACCCUGAUCCAGCAAUGCCGCGUGUGUGAAGAAGGCCUUCGGGUUGUAAAGCACUUUUGUCCGGAAA
RNAcentral lists this ribosomal RNA (404 nucleotides) under Cupriavidus pauculus. Its description in RNAcentral is "bacterial SSU rRNA". It matches the Rfam family "Bacterial small subunit ribosomal RNA", at positions 40 to 446 of the family's 1533-position model. Lineage: Bacteria; Pseudomonadati; Pseudomonadota; Betaproteobacteria; Burkholderiales; Burkholderiaceae. The record is from RNAcentral.